RNAcentral lists this ribosomal RNA (115 nucleotides) under Phocaeicola vulgatus. Lineage: Bacteria; Pseudomonadati; Bacteroidota; Bacteroidia; Bacteroidales; Bacteroidaceae. The record is from RNAcentral.
UCCGGAGGCUUUUUUUUGUAUNAGGGUUCCACCUCUUCCCAUUCCGAACAGAGAAGUUAAGCCUCACCACGCCGAUGGUACUGCGUCACAGUGGGAGAGUAGGUAGCCGCCGUUU